CAGCAGCCGCGGUAAUACGUAGGGUGCGAGCGUUAAUCGGAAUUACUGGGCGUAAAGCGUGCGCAGGCGGUUAUAUAAGUCAGAUGUGAAAUCCCCGGGCUCAACCUGGGAACUGCAUUUGAGGCCGUAUGGCUAGAGUGUGUCAGAGGGGGGUAGAAUUCCACGUGUAGCAGUGAAAUGCGUAGAUAUGUGGAGGAAUACCGAUGGCGAAGGCAGCCCCCUGGGAUAACACUGACGCUCAUGCACGAAAGCGUGGGGAGCAAACAGGAUUAGAUACCCGCGUAGUCCCUGUCUCUUAUAC
Molecule: ribosomal RNA, 301 nt
Filed under: uncultured bacterium
Lineage: Bacteria
Description: partial 16S ribosomal RNA
Rfam family: Bacterial small subunit ribosomal RNA
Source: RNAcentral